UGCAUGUGGUGGAUGCCUUGGCGAUUACAGGCGAUGAAGGACGUGAUAGCCUGCGAUAAGCUUCGGGGAGCUGGCAAAUAAGCUUUGAUCCGGAGAUUUCCGAAUGGGGAAACCCACCCGCAAGGGUAUUGCACACUGAAUACAUAGGUGUGCAAGGCGAACCAGGGGAACUGAAACAUCUCAGUACCUUGAGGAAAAGACAUCAACCGAGAUUCCGAAAGUAGUGGCGAGCGAAAUCGGAACAGCCUGCGCAUGAUAGCCAUUGACUUAUCAGAACGGAAUGGAAAGUCCGACCAAAGAGGGUGAUAGUCCCGUAUGGAAAAAAGUUGGUGGUGGUACUAGGUGCGGAACAAGUAGGCGGGGCACGUGAAACCUUGUCUGAAUAUGGGGGGACCAAUCCUCCAAGGCUAAAUACUCGUAAUCGACCGAUAGUGAACAAGUACCGUGAGGGAAAGGCGAAAAGAACCCGGAGGGAGUGAAAUAGAUCCUGAAACCGCAUGCAUAC
Molecule: ribosomal RNA, 505 nt
Filed under: uncultured bacterium
Lineage: Bacteria
Description: bacterial LSU rRNA
Rfam family: Bacterial large subunit ribosomal RNA
Source: RNAcentral